AUGUGCGGGACCAGUUCGCAUGACCUCUUCCCUGAGAAGGACUCCAACACAGCUACUGGAAAGAGCCUUACUCGCAACUGGACAAUGAAGGCGGCUUUGGAGCAACAUCAACUAGUCGGGCGAGAGGGAGCAAUGUCUGAAGUCAUUAAACUAAUUCGUGAAGAGGGUGAUCGUUUACAUGUUAUCUCCGUGUGGGGAAUGGGUGGCAUGGGGAAAACCACCCUUGUUAGAAGUGUCUACGGAAGCGAAGAGCUUAGUGGCAUGUUUCAGAAGAGAGCUUGGGUUACCAUAUUGCAUCCUUUCAACCGUGAGCAGUUCUUUAGGAGCUUAGCCAUGCAAUUACACUCAGAUGAUACCGGAAAGGACGUUAGCUUGAUGGGAGAUGGCACUGAAAAAAGGUUGCAAGUGAUGGAAAUUGCGGAUUUGAUAAAAGAGACAUUCCGGCUUUUAGACAGGCUAACGUACCUCAUUGUUCUCGAUGACCUGUCGUCCAACACAGAAUGGGAUUCAAUAAUACCGCAUUUCCCUAAGGAUGAGAUGACCAGUCGGAUCAUAAUCACCACAAGGGAAGCAAGUGUUGCUAGCCGUUGUUCCAAGAAAUACAAGCUGAGAUCUCUAGGGGAUGAUGCCGCACUAGACCUCUUCAAAAAGAAGGUGUUUAGUGGUACUGAAAUGGUUGAUUUAACCGGUACCAUGAGGGAUCAGGCAGAACUUAUUCUUAAAAAGUGUGAUGGGCUUCCCCUUGCCAUUGCCACUAUAGGUGGCUUUCUAGCAACCAAACCCAAAACAAGUUUGGAAUGGAGGAAACUGAAUGAUCAUAUCAGUGUGGAGUUGGAGAACAAUCCAGAACUUGAAAUGAUAAAGACAGUCCUUAUGUCAAGUUAUGAUGGUUUACCAUAUCAUCUCAAGUCUUGCCUUCUGUAUUUCUCAAUUUUUCCGGAAGACAAAAACGUUAGACAUGGACGGCUAAUAAGGCGGUGGAUUGCUGAGGGUUACUCAAAGGAAAUGAGAACCAAAACUGCCGAGGAAGUAGCCGAGGAAUACUUUACUGAUAUUAUUAACAGGAGCAUGGUGCAACAACUGAAAACUAGAGCUCCUUACACUGGGAAAAUUACUGAUUCCUGCCAAGUUCAUGAUCUAAUGCGUGAAAUAUGUAUCUCAAAGUCAGACGAGGAGAACCUUGUUUUUGUACUGGAUGAGCAUUGCACCUUGCAACCUACAGAUAAAAUACGGCACCUUGUUGUGCGCGGUAGUUGGAGCAGAGACCAAAAGAAGAAAGUGUUGGGAAGUGUAUUGGACGUGUCCCACAUUCGAUCCCUGACUGUAUUUGGAGAGUGGAAAUCUUUUUUCAUUUCUAAGAAAAUGAGAUUGCUUCGGGUGCUUGACUUAGAAGACACCGAAAAUCUGCGGGAUCACGACCUUGCGCCAAUUGGGAAGCUUCACCACCUGAAGUACCUAUCUUUAAGAGGUUGCUUAUAUAUAUACCAUCUCCCAGAUUCAUUUGGUAAUCUGUCAGAGCUGGAGACACUGGAUAUAAGAAGUACAUUUGUGGUCACAUUGCCAGCAAGCAUCACAAAGCUCUCAAAGUUAAAAUACUUCCGUGCCGGUCUCGUACCUACAGAUGAUGUGCUUCCCAGCAGUUAUGUCAGAGAAAUUGAUCAGCCCUUGAAGGAGUUUGGCUUAGCAGCUUACAAGAGCUACGUACAGAAAAAAUCCAUUCAUGACUUGGAUGCAGUACCAUAUCUCUUCUUUCAGGCCCGUAUCUGGUUGCGAGGGUGGGAUGAGCAUGGCAUGAAAGUGCCCAGAGGGAUUGGGAGAAUGAAGGCCCUGCACACACUGGGUGUUGUCAACAUUGCACGGGCGAGGGCCAUGCCAAAGGAGCUGAAGAAGCUUACUUGGUUGCGUAAGCUUGGAGUGACUGGCAUCAACAAGAAAAACUGCAAGGAGCUCUGCUCUGCUAUCGUCAAUCAUGGCCGCUUGCUGUCCUUGUCGAUGCGCGCCGAGGGUGAGCCUGGCUUAGAAGGAUGUCUGGAUGACUUGUCCCCUCCUCCAGAUAGCCUCCAAAGCCUUAAGUUGUAUGGCUAUCUGGUCAAAUUGCCUACAUGGAUCGAACAGCUUCAGAUGCUAACCAAGUUAACUCUACGGAGUACCCAACUGGAGUAUCAUGCCAUAUUAGUACUUGCGAAGCUCCCAAAUCUUGCCAUUCUGCGUCUUUGUGAUGGUUCGUUUAGGUGGGCUGAACUCAACUUCCAUUUCUGCCCUGAGAGCUUUAAAAGUCUGACGGCAUUGGAGCUUGAAUUUCUACCUGGCCUCAACUCGGUUGAGUUUGAACAAAAUGCAAUGCCUAAUCUUGAGCUGAUACGGGUACUCCAUUGUUUUUAUGGAGGUGCCGAUGGGUUUUCCGGGAUACAAUUUCUGUCAGGUCUCAAGGAAGUUUCACUCAAGGGUCACAAGGGCGACUUCAAUGAAAAAUUCAAGAAAGACUUGCGGGAACAACUGUCCAAGAAUUCUAACAAGCCAAAUCUGAAGAUGGAGGACAUGGCGAAAUGGCUCUCGGCUGCACCUGCUCCCGCUCUUAUCUUGAACAGUAAAUUCGAAACAAACAAUUAG
RNAcentral lists this ribosomal RNA (2610 nucleotides) under Triticum aestivum (bread wheat). Its description in RNAcentral is "partial small subunit ribosomal RNA". Lineage: Eukaryota; Viridiplantae; Streptophyta; Magnoliopsida; Poales; Poaceae. The record is from RNAcentral.